This 418-nucleotide ribosomal RNA is filed under the name uncultured bacterium. RNAcentral describes it as "bacterial SSU rRNA". It matches the Rfam family "Bacterial small subunit ribosomal RNA", at positions 361 to 777 of the family's 1533-position model. The record is from RNAcentral.
AUAUUGGGCAAUGGCCGAGAGGCUGACCCAGCCAUGCCGCGUGCAGGAAGAAGGCCUUCUGGGUUGUAAACUGCUUUUAUCGGGGAAGAAAACGCCUGUGCGCAGGUAACUGACGUUACCCGAUGAAUAAGCACCGGCUAACUCCGUGCCAGCAGCCGCGGUAAUACGGAGGGUGCAAGCGUUGUCCGGAUUUAUUGGGUUUAAAGGGUGCGUAGGCGGCCCGUUAAGUCAGCGGUGAAAUCCAACGGCUCAACCGUGGAACUGCCGUUGAUACUGGCGGGCUUGAGUUCGGUCGAGGCGGGCGGAACUGGCGGUGUAGCGGUGAAAUGCUUAGAUACCGCCAAGAACCCCGAUUGCGUAGGCAGCUCGCUGGGCCGAAACUGACGCUGAGGCACGAAAGCGUGGGGAGCGAACAGGA